GCGUCCUUCGGGAUCGCACACGCAAAAUUUGGAAGGAUACGGAGAAGAUUAGCAUGGCCCCUGCACAAGGAUGACACGCUGUUUCGGAGUGGGUUGACCAUUAGGU
This 106-nucleotide small nuclear RNA is filed under the name Piloderma croceum F 1598. Lineage: Eukaryota; Fungi; Basidiomycota; Agaricomycetes; Atheliales; Atheliaceae. The record is from RNAcentral.